Long non-coding RNA from Cavia porcellus (domestic guinea pig), 2670 nucleotides. The record is from Ensembl. NCBI's taxonomy places the organism in Eukaryota, Metazoa, Chordata, Mammalia, Rodentia, Caviidae.
GAAAAGUUAUAUUCUUUUCCUUUUUCAAAAACUUUUUUUUUAUUUUGACACAGGCAAUUUUAUAUGAUGACAAAGGAGCUUGCUUGGAAAGUCUAUUUCUGAAAUGUCUUGAGGUGAAACCUGGAGAUGACUUAGAAAGUGAUCGAUACUUAAUCACUGUUGAGGAGGUAAAGGUUGCUGGAAGCCUAGCUGCUAAGCAGGAAGUCGUUAGAGAAGCGCCACCUUGGAGUUCUAGGAGUUUUGCUGGCCGUUUCCGGGGGUGUCAGCCCCCUGGCUUAAAGCGGAAAUAUACUGGUUUUCAAGGACCACGUCAAGUGCCAAAGAAAAUGGUUGUUACGGAAAAUGGAGACUGGCCUGCGUCCUUUGAGGCUGGCGCUACUUUGUUUUCUCCAUCCUGCAGCAGCCUGCCUCUGUUUCCUACUGUGGGCAGGAAGGAAAUGAGUAACAUGCAGACAGUCCCCCACAGCGCCAUCGCUGCCCAGGCUGGAGCGAGCCAGGGCCCCUGCCCUUCCACUUCCUUGGAACCGAGCCCCAGAGUGCCAUGGGAAGCAGGCACCUCUCUGGGCUCUGGACGGCGGUGUGAAGACGCUGUGCUGGCCACAGAGCCCAGCAGACAACACAGCCCAGCGUCGCACUGCCCUGGAGCCCCACAGCAGCAUGUCCGAAGCCAAGCACAGAUCUUAGCUCUCCUGAAGUCCACACCAACAACCAUACCUGAGCUUCGGGAUGCUGAGCCGGUGGGACACCCAGGGCAGCUAUGGACUCCAGCUGUGUGCGGAGCUGGCCUGGAAGGGCACACUGAGGCACUGGGCGCAGAGCGGCCCCACAGCCCGAGGCAGCUGGAGACUGCUGCAGCCAGCCGGAGCCGCUGGGCAGUGUAUUUAUCCCCGCAAGACUCCGAGGCAGCUUCUGCCAGUGGUGCCGGUGGUGGGGAGAGGCAGGCGGCAGAGCAGGAAAAUGACGCAUGUUUGAAUCUCGAAGACCUUUUGGAACAGAAAAGAAUGCAGGCCUUUGGAACACAUGCUGAAAUUGGCAAGAAGCAUCGUGAAGACGAGCUGGGGGACAGGAGCGCGAGCUGGCAUCAGGCUCCCAAAAAAGAACCUUUGUUAGGCGGCAGUGCACUGGUAUGCUGCAGCAGUGCAGGGCAGGGUGGGCUGCUUGCAGAAACCACUGUUGGUGGAAAUGACAAAGUACCUUUCAGUGGACAGGACCAGGGGUGCAUGGGUGGCCCCCCAGGACAGGACCUUCACUGCGCAGCACAGUCUCCUACAGCCUCGGGAUGUCAGGUGUCUUCUCUGAGUCAGGAUUCUAACACCCUGGACGACGAUGUGGAACCAGUUUCUGAAAAUGGCACUGCCAAUGAGAGACAGGGUGGUGUCCUGGGAUCCGGAGGGAAUGGGACACAGCCGUUUUUGGAGGUAACCUUUAACCUGAGCAAUUUUGAGACAAGUGACUCGGAGGAGGAAUCACAGGAAAGCAGUGGCCUUUCCCAGGGUGCAGGGACCUGGGCAAAGGGCAGUUCCUAUGUUCAAAAGCCACAUGAGGGUUUAGGCUGUCAAGAAAUUAGCAGUGAACGUUUGCCAUGCUUACCCUCUGUGGGUCACGGGUGGACAGAGAAAUGUUCUGUUAAAGAGACGCUGUCGCAGUUUUGUGAUAAAACUUGUAUAGGUAUUGACCCAGGACCUUGUGAAGAUGGGAACGCUGGAGAAGAGGACGAUAGCGACCUGGCCAGCAGUUCCAGCCCUUCGGUGGCAGGGUGUGCUGGUGAAUCUGUGGAGGACGUGGAGGACACUGACAGGUCUUGCCAGACCAUCACACGUCCCUCUGAUUUUGCCUCACUCUCAAAUAAAUCUAAAGGAACAGGUGCAGAUUUACAUACUCCUGACCUUUUAGACAUAGCUACUAACCAGGCUUCUAAAAACAAUGACUUACUUUCCCAUCAACAACCUUGGUCUUUCGUUUUGGGAAGUGUCUUAGAUAAAGAUGCCAAGCAGGUUUCCUCGCCCAUUUCUGGCCAUGACAGCAGUGUCCGGACGUUUGAUGGUCUUCGGGGUCAGUCAAAACAUGCUGCACUUGGUGAGUCCCAUUCCCAGGCUUGCAGCUCUUUGCUUGCCCUUUGGGAAGCAAAGCAGCCUCUUUACCAAGACACUGAAGUGUGUAUUCCUGAAUGCGACGACUCGAGGAGUUCUCGUGUACCCCGUGACUGUGGCCAUAUUGAAGUGGAACCUGCCAGAAACAGCAGCUCGUCCUGGAGUAAUCCUGGCGACUCGUUGGAGCUCUCUGGAGUAGUCAGUCACAUUUCCCCUUUGAAGUCUCUGUCUGCACACAGCACUGCUUUAGAAAUCGUGGAAAUGCUGCCAAGGCAGGAUGCGGCCUUCACACCGCCAGGAACACUGCAGGCAGAAGAGCCAGAGAGCCAAGCUGAAGCUAGGAAACCGUGUAUUAGGAUACCAUUUAUUCCUCACCUGAAGCAGGGUUCUCAACAGAUACUAGAAGACAAUGAAGUUGAACCAAGUAACCCUCUUCAGACUCCACAGGUGAGUUACUCUAUUUGUAUAGCAGAGAUGAGGUAUAUUUUAAGUUUGUGUUAUGUAUUGUGUUUUCAAGUUCAUUUGCAGUGAUUACUCUUUAUUCAUUUAGAUGCACCUGGUGUCUUUGGUGUAAAUGUUU